AGCAGAUGUUAAGCCUCGGGUCAUUGCUAGAAGAUGUAUUCCAAAUCUUUGACCUCAGGGAGCUCAUCAAAUUUAUCAGAAUAUCUUGGUCUUUGAGUUCUGCCCGGUGUAUCCCCAAGAAAAGAAAUUAACUACAGUUUAGGUUUGGAACUAAAAGAGAUGAGAUUCACAAUGCUUUCCCUGUGUCUAAUCGUUUUAAGAGUCUAUUUAUAGCAGAAGUGUCAUCCCUGGAGCAUAUUGAAGAAGUCUCAGAAUGUGAGCAGUUAGAUGGAAGAUGAUAAUGAAGCAGCCUUGAUGCAAUUUGACCAAAAGUAAUGAAAGAGAUGGAGAGGUGGCGAGUCAUCCGUGCAGCAAAACCUAAAGGAGAGGACACCAGGUGUGACUGGUGUGAUCUUUGCUGUUUAACGCAUUUACAAAUUAGAAUCCAUCUACGUCUGCCAUUCUGCCUCCAUCUGAACAUUCAUAGUUUACUAAACUCAGUUCCUGAACAAAAUGUAGAGAGUGUCCAGUCGUGCUUUUGUCUGAGAAAAGGUUCCCCAAGAAAGGAACAUCUUAGAAAUGAAUUUCUAGGCUUCAGGUUUCAAACUAUUCUCCUUUUCAGGGCUCUUAAUUACUUUUUGUCAAACUGGGAAGUUACUCUGGAAUGUUUUCAGGAUGCUCCAGUCCUUGCAAGCCUUAUACCUAAAGCAGAUUCACAGCUGUGCCCAGAACAAGCUUUGAAGUCACCACGCUUGGCUAGUAUCUCAAAUGUUUUGCUUUAAUCUGUGGACACCAUUUUUCCGAGGAAACCUUCUUGUGAUUUUUGUAUUUCCUGUCACCAAGAAUUUUUAUUCUAUAAUGUUUGUAUUUCUUAUGAACCAAGGGUGACAAAUAUGGGCAAAUAUUUUGCCAGUUGUGCUGUCUUUGGUAAUAUAGAAUUAAGAGAGACAAUGUCACUGAAGCUGUGUGAUUUCUUUUAAAUUUUCAUUAUAAUUGGUUUUGAUUAAAUAGUAAUUUUAUAUUUUCUUCUUAGUUUUACCUUCUGAUAUUUGAAUAAGAAAGGUGGAGUCAUUUAUGUAAAGGUUAUGUAAAAUUCAAAAAAGUUAGAAAAAACAAUUUCAUUUUUUUUAACAAUUCAAUUUCCUGAUGAGUUUUAUUCAUUUAUUUGUUGCAGGCAUAGAUUUUAGGGAGUUUUUAUUAAAAUAUUUAAUAACUAUUUAAUAGAUG
Molecule: long non-coding RNA, 1206 nt
Filed under: Equus asinus (donkey)
Lineage: Eukaryota; Metazoa; Chordata; Mammalia; Perissodactyla; Equidae
Description: lncRNA (ENSEASG00005038070.1)
Source: RNAcentral